AACUUUUAACAACGGAUCUCUUGGUUCUGGCAUCGAUGAAGAACGCAGCGAAAUGCGAUAAGUAAUGUGAAUUGCAGAAUUCAGUGAAUCAUCGAAUCUUUGAACGCACAUUGCGCCCGCUGGUAUUCCAGCGGGCAUGCCUGUUCGAGCGUCA
RNAcentral lists this ribosomal RNA (154 nucleotides) under Gnomoniopsis paraclavulata. RNAcentral describes it as "5.8S ribosomal RNA". It matches the Rfam family "5.8S ribosomal RNA". From Rfam's summary of the family: 5.8S ribosomal RNA (5.8S rRNA) is a component of the large subunit of the eukaryotic ribosome. It is transcribed by RNA polymerase I as part of the 45S precursor that also contains 18S and 28S rRNA. Functionally, it is thought that 5.8S rRNA may be involved in ribosome translocation. Lineage: Eukaryota; Fungi; Ascomycota; Sordariomycetes; Diaporthales; Gnomoniaceae. The record is from RNAcentral. RNAcentral also lists the same sequence under 2 other names.